GCAGCCUGAUGCAGCCAUGCCGCGUGUGUGAAGAAGGCCUUCGGGUUGUAAAGCACUUUCAGCAGUGAGGAAGGGURAUGAGUUAAUACCUYAUUAUCUUGACGUUAGCUGCAGAAGAAGCACCGGCUAACUCCGUGCCAGCAGCCGCGGUAAUACGGAGGGUGCGAGCGUUAAUCGGAAUUACUGGGCGUAAAGCGCAUGCAGGCGGUUUGUUAAGCAAGAUGUGAAAGCCCCGGGCUCAACCUGGGAACCGCAUUUUGAACUGGCAGGCUAGAGUCUUGUAGAGGGGGGUAGAAUUUCAGGUGUAGCGGUGAAAUGCGUAGAGAUCUGAAGGAAUACCGGUGGCGAAGGCGGCCCCCUGGACAAAGACUGACGCUCAGAUGCGAAAGCGUGGGGAGCAAACAGGAUUAGAUACCCUGGUAGUCCACGCUGUAAACGAUGUCUACUUGGAGGUUGCGGUCUUGAACUGUGGCUUUCGGAGCUAACGCGUUAAGUAGACCGCCUGGGGAGUACGGUCGCAAGAUUAAAACUCA
RNAcentral lists this ribosomal RNA (533 nucleotides) under Vibrio sp. RNAcentral describes it as "bacterial SSU rRNA". It matches the Rfam family "Bacterial small subunit ribosomal RNA", at positions 378 to 903 of the family's 1533-position model. Lineage: Bacteria; Pseudomonadati; Pseudomonadota; Gammaproteobacteria; Vibrionales; Vibrionaceae. The record is from RNAcentral.